UACAGAGGGGGCAAGCGUUAUUCGGAAUUAUUGGGCGUAAAGGGCGCGUAGGCGGCCAUUCAAGUGACGGGUGAAAGCCCUCGGCUUAACCGAGGAACUACCUGUCAGACUGGAUGGCUUGAGACCGGGAGAGGUGAGUGGAAUUCCCAGUGUAGCGGUGAAAUGCGUAGAUAUUGGGAGGAACACCAGUGGCGAAGGCGGCUCACUGGACCGGAACUGACGCUGAGGCGCGAAAGCGUGGGGAGCAAACAGG
Molecule: ribosomal RNA, 253 nt
Filed under: uncultured bacterium
Lineage: Bacteria
Description: partial 16S ribosomal RNA
Rfam family: Bacterial small subunit ribosomal RNA
Source: RNAcentral